AUUUAAAUACAUCUCAUGUUGAGGUUCAAC
Non-coding RNA from Clostridium autoethanogenum DSM 10061, 30 nucleotides. The record is from Rfam. NCBI's taxonomy places the organism in Bacteria, Bacillati, Bacillota, Clostridia, Eubacteriales, Clostridiaceae.